GAUUUUCACGACGCCAUCGCCAUCCAUUCCAUCUAAUUGAUACAAAAGAUCAUUAUUAUUGAAUUUGGAGUUCUGAGAGCAAGUUGACAAGAAAAUCUUUCGUACUGAAGAGCAAGGAAAUCAAAUCCAAAUCUCAAAAACAAUUGGACGGACGUGCACAAGUUUUGGCGUUCCCGAGAUACGCGGAAAAGGUUUCCGUCGCGUUUUCUUGGUUGGUUUCCAUUUUUGGACAACCGUCCAAUUUUCUGCCGAUUUCGACAACUUUUUGAAUGCUUCGCGGGUUAAACAAGAGCGAGAGUUCGCGCUCUGCAAUUGACUGGUGCGUGCUCUUCACUCCGUCCCCCCACUCUCUCCUUCUCCUUCUCUCUCCAUUCCAAAGGGAUCGUCCUGGUGGGUGGGUACUUGGGGUUUCAGGCAGAGGCAAAGCCGGUGGAAUGCGACCAAUUUUUCUGGCUUCGAGACCCCUUUGCCGUGUUCCUUGGGUUUCCGAAUCUGAGAAACCUAAUGUGGACUCUCGCAGCAGAUGAAGGCCUUUGAAGAUCGUCUAAUCGCAGUCUUAAACCUUCUCUCGCACCAGACGAAUGCUUCAUAGCCUGCUCGCCUCCUUGGCAGCCAUUCGGAGGGUCUGAUUGUAGGUUAUUAUAGUUCCCUGUGGUUUCAAUGAAGGUUGUGGCCAAAGAAGAGACAGCGAAGAGACAACUAUUCAAAAGGAUCUAUCAAUUGAAGUUUGCUAUACAUCAUGACAAUACUAAUAUGUUUCAAGUAAAUCUUGGGGGACCUAAAAUUAAACGAGAAAAUAUCAAAUAUGAUGUCAAAUGUUUAAGUUGUUAGAUAAUAAAAGUGGAACAGCAGUCAGUGGCUUGGUGGUUUGCUAAAAGGAUCGUUUAUUUCACUGUGAAAUUGGGAUGAUAAUACCAUGGAUUUUGUGACAGAAUUAUGAGGUAAAAUAAUGCUAUUUGUGUGACUAUUGUGUUCGACUCACCAGGCCUUCUGAUUUUCUACAAAGAGCAAUCAGUCACUCUCUUGAAAUCCUUAUGGAUUUGUAAUUUGUAUGUAAAUGAAAUUGGUAAACUACAUGGUACACAAAAUCCAUUACUACUGAUUAAGAUUCACAAUUUAAUUCUUGACCUGGGGACUACUGCUGAAAGGAUUGAACACUAAAGUUAGAAAGACUAUGACUUUUAAUCCCCAAUUGAAUGGGUAAUUGGAAUGAACGAUUCAAACUCUAAAAGAUAUGUUAUGAG
Long non-coding RNA from Nymphaea colorata (pocket water lily), 1244 nucleotides. RefSeq lists it as uncharacterized. The record is from RefSeq and is a predicted model, not a curated record. NCBI's taxonomy places the organism in Eukaryota, Viridiplantae, Streptophyta, Magnoliopsida, Nymphaeales, Nymphaeaceae. The transcript has 3 exons.